CGACGGUAACAGCGAGGAAAGCUUGCUUUUUUCGGCUGACGAGUGGCGAACGGGUGAGUAAUACAUCGGAACGUGUCCGCUCGUGGGGGACAACCAUCCGAAAGGAUGGCUAAUACCGCAUGAGUUCUACGGAAGAAAGAGGGGGACCUGCUUGCAGGCCUCUCGCGAGCGGAGCGGCCGAUGACUGAUUAGCCGGUUGGUGAGGUAACGGCUCACCAAAGCAACGAUCAGUAGCUGGUCUGAGAGGACGACCAGCCACACUGGGACUGAGACACGGCCCAGACUCCUACGGGAGGCAGCAGUGGGGAAUUUUGGACAAUGGGCGCAAGCCUGAUCCAGCUAUUCCGCGUGUGGGAUGACGGCCCUCGGGUUGUAAACCACUUUAGUAGAGAACGAAAAGGAGCUAUCGAAUAAAUAGCUCUGCUGACGGUACUCUAAGAAUAAGCACCGGCUAACUACGUGCCAGCAGCCGCGGUAAUACGUAGGGUGCGAGCGUUAAUCGGAAUUACUGGGCGUAAAGGGUGUGCAGGCGGCUGAGUAAGACAGAUGUGAAAUCCCCGGGCUUAACCUGGGAACCGCAUAUGUGACUGCUUGGCUAGAGUGCGUCAGAGGGAGGUGGAAUUCCACGUGUAGCAGUGAAAUGCGUAGAUAUGUGGAAGAACACCGAUGGCGAAGGCAGCCUCCUGGGACGCAACUGACGCUCAUACACGAAAGCGUGGGGAGCAAACAG
RNAcentral lists this ribosomal RNA (730 nucleotides) under uncultured bacterium. RNAcentral describes it as "bacterial SSU rRNA". It matches the Rfam family "Bacterial small subunit ribosomal RNA", at positions 63 to 775 of the family's 1533-position model. The record is from RNAcentral.